This 253-nucleotide ribosomal RNA is filed under the name uncultured bacterium. RNAcentral describes it as "partial 16S ribosomal RNA". It matches the Rfam family "Bacterial small subunit ribosomal RNA", at positions 524 to 776 of the family's 1533-position model. The record is from RNAcentral.
UACGUAGGGGGCAAGCGUUGUCCGGAAUCAUUGGGCGUAAAGCGCGUGUAGGCGGUUUGGUAAGUCUGCUGUGAAAGUCCAGGGCUCAACCCUGGAAAGCCGGUGGAAACUGUCAAGCUAGAGUACGGAAGAGGCGAGUGGAAUUCCUGGUGUAGCGGUGAAAUGCGCAGAUAUCAGGAGGAACACCAAUGGCGAAGGCAGCUCGCUGGGACGUUACUGACGCUGAGACGCGAAAGCGUGGGGAGCAAACAGG